This 576-nucleotide ribosomal RNA is filed under the name uncultured bacterium. RNAcentral describes it as "bacterial SSU rRNA". It matches the Rfam family "Bacterial small subunit ribosomal RNA", at positions 338 to 916 of the family's 1533-position model. The record is from RNAcentral.
CCUACGGGAGGCAGCAGUGAGGAAUAUUGGACAAUGGGCGCAGGCCUGAUCCAGCCAUGCCGCGUGCAGGAUGACGGUCCUAUGGAUUGUAAACUGCUUUUGCACAGGAAGAAACAACGCUACGUGUAGCGUCUUGACGGUACUGUGAGAAUAAGGAUCGGCUAACUCCGUGCCAGCAGCCGCGGUAAUACGGAGGAUCCAAGCGUUAUCCGGAAUCAUUGGGUUUAAAGGGUCCGUAGGCGGUUUAGUAAGUCAGUGGUGAAAGCCCAUCGCUCAACGGUGGAACGGCCAUUGAUACUGCUAGACUUGAAUUAUUAGGAAGUAACUAGAAUAUGUAGUGUAGCGGUGAAAUGCUUAGAGAUUACAUGGAAUACCAAUUGCGAAGGCAGGUUACUACUAAUGGAUUGACGCUGAUGGACGAAAGCGUGGGUAGCGAACAGGAUUAGAUACCCUGGUAGUCCACGCCGUAAACGAUGGAUACUAGCUGUUGGGAGCGAUCUCAGUGGCUAAGCGAAAGUGAUAAGUAUCCCACCUGGGGAGUACGUUCGCAAGAAUGAAACUCAAAGGAAUUGACGG